This 797-nucleotide long non-coding RNA is filed under the name Homo sapiens (human). RNAcentral describes it as "HSALNT0389218". The record is from RNAcentral. Lineage: Eukaryota; Metazoa; Chordata; Mammalia; Primates; Hominidae.
AUGGAAAGGAACUUGAAGGAUAUGAAGACUGGGUCAGCUUUGAUUUGAGAUCCUUCGAUGAGAGAGGGUGCAAUGAUGCUCCCUAGCUAGUAAGAGUCCCAUCUUGGCCUUCUAAGGGAAAGAUAGGUAAAUGAAAAGACUGCUAAAUCCAAGGUCAGACAGCAUAUAGAAGGCUUUAUAAAAGAACAGGAAAACUCAGAACACUAAAUAAGAGAGUGCUUUCUUGGACUCUGCAGUUGGCCUCAAUCAUCGGAUCUGGAAUAUUACUUUUUACGAUUUUGGAAGCCGAUACACACCUGGAACUUUAUGAAUCCAGAAAGAGCCAACGUUUGAAUGAUUACUGCAAUCUCACAUCUAUUAAAUCCUGAUACCUGCAACCAAGAGAUGAGUAGGAGAUGUGGAUCCUAAGAGAAACAUAAAAUUGACAGAGCCAGGAAGUAACCCAGGAAAAAGAUGUGGUAGCAAGGACAAGUCAUUCUUGGAGAAGUUUUCAAAAGGGGAAUAUCCACGGGUAAAUGUCAACUGAAGCUCAGAUCACCUCAAGAAACCUGAGAUUAACAAAAAGGCACUACACAGAAGUGGUGAAGAACACAGCAUCACUCCUGUGAUAUUCCUGUUGAAGAUAUGUUACCUAAAUUAAACACAAGGAACCACCAGACAAGUCCAAAUUGAGGGACUUUCUACAAAAUAACUUAAUAGCAUCAAGGUUAUGAACAUCAAAGAAGGCCUGAAGAAACUGUUCCAGACUGGAGGAGACUAAGACAACAUGAAAAAUAAAUGCAAUGUGUGAUUCUGAC